AGUCCCGUUAGUGAUUACGGCGGUACAAGAUGUGUACCAGGUUUUGCUAAAGGUUGGAAACCAAGGGUUCAAUGUGGUACUUGGUUUGAGAGGAGGUUUGUUGUGAAUGCAAACAAAGUCCCACAUGAGAAGUCUAGACAAAUAAUGUCUAGUAUAUAAAAGGAUGUCCAACUCUGAUUAGUACGAGGCCUUUUGGGAAGGAGCCCAAAACCAAAUCCAUGCGGGCUUUGCCUCCGGGCCGGACAAUAUCGUACUAAUCGGACAACGCAGAGUUGGACAUGGGAUUUAAAAAGCCUAACAUUCCUCUUCUUCCUCUGAAAUCUUAAAUUACUGUUAUAUUAUGAUUGUAGAGCUGUGAUAUUUAAGACACCGGAGUCUAUAU
This 382-nucleotide long non-coding RNA is filed under the name Brassica napus (rape). RNAcentral's name for it is "long non-coding RNA (BNAP_LNC006594)". The record is from RNAcentral. Lineage: Eukaryota; Viridiplantae; Streptophyta; Magnoliopsida; Brassicales; Brassicaceae.